UGACCUCGGAUCAGGUAGGGAUACCCGCUGAACUUAAGCAUAUCAAUAAGCGGAGGAAAAGAAACCAACAGGGAUUGCCCUAGUAACGGCGAGUGAAGCGGCAACAGCUCAAAUUUGAAAUCUGGCUCUUUCAGAGUCCGAGUUGUAAUUUGCAGAGGGCGCUUUGGCUUUGGCAGCGGUCCAAGUUCCUUGGAACAGGACGUCACAGAGGGUGAGAAUCCCGUACGUGGUCGCUAGCUAUUGCCGUGUAAAGCCCCUUCGACGAGUCGAGUUGUUUGGGAAUGCAGCUCUAAAUGGGAGGUAAAUUUCUUCUAAAGCUAAAUAUUGGCCAGAGACCGAUAGCGCACAAGUAGAGUGAUCGAAAGAUGAAAAGCACUUUGGA
RNAcentral lists this non-coding RNA (382 nucleotides) under Exserohilum turcica Et28A. Its description in RNAcentral is "Setosphaeria turcica Et28A Eukaryotic large subunit ribosomal RNA". It matches the Rfam family "Eukaryotic large subunit ribosomal RNA", at positions 1 to 380 of the family's 3401-position model. Lineage: Eukaryota; Fungi; Ascomycota; Dothideomycetes; Pleosporales; Pleosporaceae. The record is from Rfam by way of RNAcentral.